This is a long non-coding RNA of Humulus lupulus (European hop), 1229 nucleotides long. RefSeq lists it as uncharacterized. The transcript is spliced from 5 exons. NCBI's taxonomy places the organism in Eukaryota, Viridiplantae, Streptophyta, Magnoliopsida, Rosales, Cannabaceae. The record is from RefSeq and is a predicted model, not a curated record.
GUCACCCUUAUGAUAUUCAGUAAAAUAAUUAAUGAAAAUUGGAAGCCUUAGCCAUCCCUGUCAUAGACAUGUUUGUUUACAUAGAGAUGUGAUUAUUUGUAUCAACAACAUCAUUUUUUGCUUUUUAUUUUUCAAAGGCCAAAGUUUCUUUGGAGAAUAUUUGUAGAGAAGUUCUUGUUUUGCCUAAAUACUCCAUGAUAAAAUUUAAUUUUUACUUUUGCAAAACAAUAUAUUCACAGCUAGAUCAGCUUCUAUCAGGGAGUAAUUUUAAGUUCACAAGUUUAUGGAUUCAAUUCAAGAGAUGGAAGUCACACUUGGAAAAGCUGUAAGAUUGGGACGAUAUUCAAUAUGCAAAGCGGUGUUAUAUCCUCCUUGGAAGGCAUUGGGGGCAUAACUUCAGGCCAAGGGCAACCACGAUUCAUCAAUAACUAACAAAGGCAGGAAGAAGAUAGUUUUCUCAACAUGAAACAAGCAAUGUUCUGAGGGCUCUAAGGACAGGUACAUGAGAAACAAGCAAUGUUCUGAGGACUCUAAGAUAGUUUUCUCAACAUGAUCCAUAUUUGUUCCAAGUCUGGCUUACCACAAUCCCAGCUUCAGCUCAAGUGCACAUUUUUCUUCUGUAUGAUGCUUUAUGUACACUGAAAAUCUGAGACUGGAAUUGUUUAGAAUUCUAUAUUUCUGAAAGAAGCUCUUGAUUCCCAAUUAUGAUUUCAGAUGAUGAUGAUGAUGUGGCACAGCUGCAAAGAAAGCCUCUGUUUUGGAAGACUGACUGGAGUUUCAUUAAAUGCCCAGUUUCCACAAGUUUUAUGCUCUGCUAAAUUCUUCAGGCCUUUUGUGUGCUGAGAAUCUAAGAGUGGAGUCAUAUGUGCAUAGAUUGUUCCAAAGAAAUUAUUCAGCAAAUGGUGUGGUGUGCAUAAGAUACUUGAAUCAGUUUUUAUCAUACACUGAUUUAUGUUCUCAAGUCUAUGAGUUGAAAUUCUUCAAUCCCUUUUCGGAAAAUCUGUAUGAUUGGGACAAUCAUUGAGGGCAUCCUCUAAUCAUCAUCAAUGAUUUAGGCAAAUUUCACAUCUUGGUUGACAACUUUUGCCAAUACAUACUUUUCACUUAAACGCAAUAAAGAGGUAGCUUUCACAACAAGAAACAAGCAAUGUUCAUGUCAGAUUGUAAUUUGGUUAUUUGGAUUUUCGCGGGUUUAGGCUUGUUUAGAUCGAUUACUAUUUUCAGAAUCA